RNAcentral lists this ribosomal RNA (482 nucleotides) under Xenarthron sp. BFS-2018. RNAcentral's name for it is "partial 16S large subunit ribosomal RNA". Lineage: Eukaryota; Metazoa; Arthropoda; Insecta; Hymenoptera; Ichneumonidae. The record is from RNAcentral.
UGUCUUUUAGAAAAUAAUUAAAAGUYUAAUYUGCUCCAUGAAAAAAUUAAAUAGCUGCAGAAUCCUAACUGUACAAAGGUAGCAUAAUCAAUAGUUUUUUAAUUNGAAAGCUGGAAUGAAUGAUUUAAUAAGGUAAAUAUUGUCUCUAAUAUAAAAAAUUUAUAAUUUUUUUUUUAGUAAAAAUACUAAAUUGAUUUUAAAAGACGAGAAGACCCUAUAGAUUUUUAUAUUUAUUUUAUUAGUAAAUUAUAAUAAAUAAUUAUUUUUUAGUAAAUAUAAUAUUAAAUUGGGGUAAUUAUUAAAUUUAAUAAAUUUUAAAAAUUUAAAACAAAAAUUAUUGAAAAAAUUGAUCUUAAAUUUUAGAUUAAUAGAAUAAAAUACCUUAGGGAUAACAGCGUAAUUUUUUUAGAAAGUUCAUAUUGAUAAAUAAGUUUGCGACCUCGAUGUUGAAUUAAGAUAAAAUUUUAAAGUAGAGUUUAAAA